Molecule: ribosomal RNA, 1283 nt
Filed under: uncultured bacterium
Lineage: Bacteria
Description: partial 16S ribosomal RNA
Rfam family: Bacterial small subunit ribosomal RNA
Source: RNAcentral
UGAGUUAGUGGCGGACGGGUGAGUAACGCGUGAGCAAUCUGCCUUGUACUGGGGGAUAACGUCGAGAAAUCGGCGCUAAUACCGCAUAAUACUAUUAGAUCGCAUGGUCAUAUAGUCAAAACUCCGGUGGUACAAGAUGAGCUCGCGUCCAAUUAGCUAGUUGGUGAGGUAAUGGCCCACCAAGGCGACGAUUGGUAGCCGAACUGAGAGGUUGAUCGGCCACAUUGGGACUGAGACACGGCCCAGACUCCUACGGGAGGCAGCAGUGGGGAAUUUUGGGCAAUGGGGGGAACCCUGACCCAGCGACGCCGCGUGAGGGAAGACAGCCUUCGGGUUUUAAACCUCUUUUGUACGGGAAGAUAAUGACGGUACUGUACGAAUAAGUCCCGGCUAACUACGUGCCAGCAGCCGCGGUAAUACGUAGGGGACGAGCGUUGUCCGGAAUUACUGGGCGUAAAGGGCGCGCAGGCUGCGUUACAAGUCAGCUGUUAAAUGCAUGGGCUUACCCCAUGAGUGCGGUUGAAACUGUAGUGCUAGAGUACUGUAGAGGCAAGCGGAAUUCCCAGUGUAGCGGUGAAAUGCGUAGAUAUUGGGAGGAACACCGGUGGCGUAGGCGGCUUGCUGGACAGUAACUGACGCUGAGGCGCGAAAGCCAGGGGAGCAAACGGGAUUAGAUACCCCGGUAGUCCUGGCCGUAAACGAUGAAAACUAGGUGUGGGUGUAGCGAUACAUCUGUGCCGUAGUUAACGCGUUAAGCAUUCCGCCUGGGGAGGAGGAUCGCAAGAAAGAAAACUCAAAGGAAUAGACGGGGGAGUCACACAAGCGGUGGAUCACGUGGCUUAAUUCGACUUUAAGCGAGGAACCUUACCAAGGCGCGAAACUCUAAUGAAAUCCUUCCGAAAGGAAGGCCCUCCGAAAGGACAUUAGAGCAGGUGGUGCAUGGUUGUCGUCAGCAGGUGGCGUGAGUUGCUCCCUUAAAAGGGGAAACAUGCGCAACCCUUACCCUAUGUUUUAAAUGUCAUGGGGGGGGGCCUAGGACAACUAGGAGGAAGGGGAGGAGGACGGCAAAUCAGCAUGGCCCUCUGAUGCCUUGGGGGGCACACGUGAUACAAUGGAAAUGACAAAGGGGGGGUAAGAGGUAACUUGGAGCAAAUACCAUCAAACAUUUCCUCAAUUCGGAUUGAGGUGUGCAACCCGACCUCAUGAAGUCGGAAUCGCUAGUAACCGUAGAUCAGCCAUGCUACGGUGAAUAAGUCCCUGGGUCUUGUACUCACCGCCCGUCA